ACUGCUCAGUAACACGUGGACAACCUACCCUUGGGUCUGGCAUAAUCCUGGGAAACUGGGGAUAAUUCCGGAUAGGUCACAGAUGCUGGAAUGCUCUGUGGCCGAAAGCUCCGGCGCCCAAGGAUGGGUCUGCGACCUAUCAGGGUUGUAGUGGGUGUAACGUACCUACUAGCCUACGACGGGUACGGGUUGUGAGAGCAAGAGCCCGGAGAUGGAUUCUGAGACACGAAUCCAGGCCCUACGGGGUGCAGCAGGCGCGAAAACUUUACAAUGCGGGAAACCGUGAUAAGGGAAUCUCGAGUGCCAGCAGCCGCGUAAUACGAUCCCCCCGUG
RNAcentral lists this ribosomal RNA (333 nucleotides) under uncultured archaeon. RNAcentral describes it as "bacterial SSU rRNA". It matches the Rfam family "Archaeal small subunit ribosomal RNA", at positions 85 to 384 of the family's 1478-position model. The record is from RNAcentral.